UUGAUCCUGGCUCAGGACGAACGCUGGCGGCGUGCCUAAUACAUGCAAGUCGAACGCUUUUUCUUUCACCGGAGCUUGCUCCACCGAAAGAAAAAGAGUGGCGAACGGGUGAGUAACACGUGGGUAACCUGCCCAUCAGAAGGGGAUAACACUUGGAAACAGGUGCUAAUACCGUAUAACACUAUUUUCCGCAUGGAAGAAAGUUGAAAGGCGCUUUUGCGUCACUGAUGGAUGGACCCGCGGUGCAUUAGCUAGUUGGUGAGGUAACGGCUCACCAAGGCAACGAUGCAUAGCCGACCUGAGAGGGUGAUCGGCCACACUGGGACUGAGACACGGCCCAGACUCCUACGGGAGGCAGCAGUAGGGAAUCUUCGGCAAUGGACGAAAGUCUGACCGAGCAACGCCGCGUGAGUGAAGAAGGUUUUCGGAUCGUAAAACUCUGUUGUUAGAGAAGAACAAGGAUGAGAGUAAAAUGUUCAUCCCUUGACGGUAUCUAACCAGAAAGCCACGGCUAACUACGUGCCAGCAGCCGCGGUAAUACGUAGGUGGCAAGCGUUGUCCGGAUUUAUUGGGCGUAAAGCGAGCGCAGGCGGUUUCUUAAGUCUGAUGUGAAAGCCCCCGGCUCAACCGGGGAGGGUCAUUGGAAACUGGGAGACUUGAGUGCAGAAGAGGAGAGUGGAAUUCCAUGUGUAGCGGUGAAAUGCGUAGAUAUAUGGAGGAACACCAGUGGCGAAGGCGGCUCUCUGGUCUGUAACUGACGCUGAGGCUCGAAAGCGUGGGGAGCGAACAGGAUUAGAAUACCCUGGGUAGUCCAA
This 815-nucleotide ribosomal RNA is filed under the name Enterococcus sp. TATAC-12. RNAcentral's name for it is "bacterial SSU rRNA". It matches the Rfam family "Bacterial small subunit ribosomal RNA", at positions 13 to 798 of the family's 1533-position model. Lineage: Bacteria; Bacillati; Bacillota; Bacilli; Lactobacillales; Enterococcaceae. The record is from RNAcentral.